AUGAAUACACUUUUAGGGAUCAUUUCUAUAGUUAUUUACUUGAGAAAUGUGUUCUAUAAAGGUCGGUCUCACUAACCACGAGGAGGAGUUACAGCAUUUCCUUCUGAGUGUGAAGUGGGUGAGAAGUAUUGCUUUUUGCAAAAUCUUUAACCAUUGAUGAUGGUUCUCUUUUCUUAAUGUGAGGGAAGUGGAGGAAGAAAAUGCAUUCUGAGUGGU
Molecule: small nucleolar RNA, 216 nt
Organism: Carcharodon carcharias (great white shark)
Lineage: Eukaryota; Metazoa; Chordata; Chondrichthyes; Lamniformes; Lamnidae
Product: small nucleolar RNA U3
Exons: 1
Source: RefSeq, a predicted model, not a curated record